Molecule: long non-coding RNA, 438 nt
Filed under: Chrysemys picta bellii (western painted turtle)
Lineage: Eukaryota; Metazoa; Chordata; Testudines; Emydidae
Description: lncRNA (ENSCPBG00000016529.1)
Source: RNAcentral
ACAGAAAUCCCCCAUGAGCCAUGUUCUAGCCUUUUAAAAGGCCGGUCUUAUCUACACAAACAUUUUUUGAUCUGUCUUCUCAUCCUAUCCAAAAGGGGAAUUUUUCCUGGAUACAGACUGCAGGAUCGGCUCCACUGUAAGCACCUAGGCAUGCGGUAUAUGCAUUGUCAGAAAUGCCGAAUGACAACAUGCCACACCUACAGAAGGCUGAGAUACUGCUGAACAUGAAUGGGAAGAGGCUCAUAUAUUGGUUACACACAUUUCCCCAGCUAAUGUGAAAUCCAUCAGUAAGCAUAUGAUUUUGCAAGCUUUGUGGUGCUAGCUUGUGGUAACAGCACGUCAUCGGUUCCCAGGAAGCACUCCUCAUUCUGAGAGCAUGAUUACAUUAGCUUGCGAUGAUGGAGAUUCUAACCACUCCGCACAAAGUGAUACAGAUCA